GACGAACGCUGGCGGCGUGCUUAACACAUGCAAGUUGAACGAUGAACCAGGGCUUGCCCUGGGGAUUAGUGGCGAACGGGUGAGUAACACGUGGGCAACCUGCCCCAGACACCGGGAUAACCUCUCGAAAGAGUGGCUAAUACCGGAUACGACCACUUUGGGCAUCCAACGGUGGUGGAAAGGAUUCUGGUCUGGGAUGGGCCCGCGGCCUAUCAGCUUGUUGGUGGGGUAAUGGCCUACCAAGGCGACGACGGGUAGCCGGCCUGAGAGGGCGACCGGCCACACUGGGACUGAGACACGGCCCAGACUCCUACGGGAGGCAGCAGUGGGGAAUAUUGCGCAAUGGGCGAAAGCCUGACGCAGCGACGCCGCGUGAGGGACGAAGGUCUUCGGAUUGUAAACCUCUUUCAGCAGGGACGAAGCGAAAGUGACUGUACCUGCAGAAGAAGCACCGGCUAACUACGUGCCAGCCGCCGCGGUAA
Molecule: ribosomal RNA, 482 nt
Filed under: uncultured bacterium
Lineage: Bacteria
Description: partial 16S ribosomal RNA
Rfam family: Bacterial small subunit ribosomal RNA
Source: RNAcentral